AGAAACGGGUAUUUUGUAUGUAGA
Molecule: non-coding RNA, 24 nt
Filed under: Arabidopsis thaliana (thale cress)
Lineage: Eukaryota; Viridiplantae; Streptophyta; Magnoliopsida; Brassicales; Brassicaceae
Source: RNAcentral